AUUGAACGCUGGCGGCAUGCCUUACACAUGCAAGUCGAACGGUAACGGGCCUUCGGGUGCCGACGAGUGGCGAACGGGUGAGUAAUGCAUCGGAACGUACCUUUCAGUGGGGGAUAACGUAGCGAAAGUUACGCUAAUACCGCAUAUUCUGUGAGCAGGAAAGCAGGGGAUCGCAAGACCUUGCGCUGAUUGAGCGGCCGAUGUCAGAUUAGCUAGUUGGUGAGGUGAAGGCUCACCAAGGCGACGAUCUGUAGCGGGUCUGAGAGGAUGAUCCGCCACACUGGAACUGAGACACGGUCCAGACUCCUACGGGAGGCAGCAGUGGGGAAUUUUGGACAAUGGGGGCAACCCUGAUCCAGCCAUGCCGCGUGAGUGAAGAAGGCCUUCGGGUUGG
This 394-nucleotide ribosomal RNA is filed under the name uncultured bacterium. RNAcentral describes it as "bacterial SSU rRNA". It matches the Rfam family "Bacterial small subunit ribosomal RNA", at positions 30 to 426 of the family's 1533-position model. The record is from RNAcentral.